AGAGUUUGAUCAUGGCUCAGGAUGAACGCUGGCGGCGUGCCUAAGACAUGCAAGUCGAGUGGGUUUAGGCCCACGGCGAACGGGUGAGUAAUAUCUAGGAACGUAUCUUUAGUUGAGGAUAUCCCGCCGAAAGGCGGAGCAAUACUCGAUGUGACCGUAAGGUUAAAGCAGCAAUGCGCUAAAGAAGCGGCCUGGACACCAUCAGCUAGUUGGUAAGGUAAUGGCUUACCAAGGCCAUGACGGUUAGGGGCCCCGAGAGGGGAGACCCCCACACUGGAACUGCGACACGGUCCAGACUCCUACGGGAGGCAGCAGUUUGGAAUUUUGGACAAUGGGCGAAAGCCUGAUCCAGCGACGCCGCGUGGUGGAUGAAGGCCUUCGGGUUGUAAACACCUUUUGUCAGGGAAGAAUUUUUGACGGUACCUGACGAAUAAGAGGUUGCUAACUCUGUGCCAGCAGCAGCGGUAAUACAGAGACCUCAAGCGUUAUCCGGAAUCAUUGGGCGUAAAGCGUACCGAUCGGUGGUUUAGAUAGUCAGAGGUGAAAUCUCAAGGCUCAACUUUGAGACUGUCCUUUGAAACUUCUAAACUAGAGGGGCAAAGAGGAAGCUAGAAUGAACGGUGUAGGGGUAAUAUCCGUUGAUAUCGUUCAGAAUACCAAUAGCGAAGGCGGCUUCUGGGUGCCACCUGACACUGCUAGGACGAAAGCGUGGGGAGCGAAUGGGAUUAGAUACCCUAGUAGUCC
This 744-nucleotide ribosomal RNA is filed under the name uncultured bacterium. RNAcentral describes it as "bacterial SSU rRNA". It matches the Rfam family "Bacterial small subunit ribosomal RNA", at positions 8 to 796 of the family's 1533-position model. The record is from RNAcentral.